This is an RNA transcript of Phragmites australis (common reed), 2654 nucleotides long. It is a transcript of the gene named scarecrow-like protein 14, with no coding region annotated. The transcript has 6 exons. NCBI's taxonomy places the organism in Eukaryota, Viridiplantae, Streptophyta, Magnoliopsida, Poales, Poaceae. The record is from RefSeq and is a predicted model, not a curated record.
CGCCCCCGUCCUCCUCCCCAGAUCGUGGCGCAGCCCCAUAUGCCCGCCUUGCACAUCGCCACCCACCGGCUUCUCCGCGCCCGCCGUGUCCUCCCGAUAUGCCAGCCCUGCACAUCGCCCCCGCCGGUUGCCCCCGCCCCCGCCGGAUCAAGCAGCACGCCACCCCGCAGGGGGACGCGACGCAGCGCCUGGCGCACUGCUUCGCCGAGGACCUGCAGGCCCGGUUCGCUGGCACUGUCAGCAUGGUGUACCAGUCGCUCAUGGCGAAGCGCACCUCGGCUGUGGCGUUCCUCCAAGCGUACCUGCUGUGCAUGGCCGCCAUCUGCUGCAAGAAAGUGGUCUUCAUAUUCUCAAAUCACACGAUCUACAAUGCCUCCCUGGGUUCAAAAACAGAUCUGCCAAUUGGUCAGCUGUGACAGAUACAACUUUUUGUUCGACUGCAACAUGCCCCAACAUCUAUUCCAGUUGAUCCCAAGGGAUUGCAACUGCUGGUGGAGUACCUGAAUGAAGCCUAUGGGAACUUUCCCAUUUACUUCCAAGAGGUUUUGCAACCAGCAAUGGCAGCCUCCACGACGCUGACAGGGCCGAUUACUUGAAGAGACACAUAGAGAACACACUGACUGCACUAAGGAAUGGAGCCAAUGUGAAUGGCUACUUCGCCUGGUGCUUCUUGGACGUCUUCGAGUACCUGACAGGGUUCAACUCGUGAUACGGCCUGUACCACGUCGACUUCCACGAGAGGCCCUGCCAAGGUAAGCCAGGCUCUCUGCCGCUGGUACUCCAAUUUCUAAAGAACAAGGAGAUCCGUGUAGAGAAUGAGCUUAACGAUGCAGGAACUCACGCUCAGCAAUGAGUUACCUAGGGUAAGAGCAGGUAAGAACAGAUAUAGACCUAUCACUGUUCUUUGUGAUGAAUUAAUUGGUCUCCAGUUCUUUGAUUUUAUCAAGUGACCAGGAUUGGAGAGCCAUGCUAGCUGAGUUGGACUUGUUUAUCUUAUGUAUUAGUAAACAUUGUGCCUACAUUGAAAAGAAAACAAUAACCUGCAGUCACCUGUGAUACAAAAUUGGAAAUGUAGGACAUUAUAUUUAUUAUUAAAGUAGAUUUGUAGUGAAAUUUGUAUCCAAACUAUCGAGCAAGUGUUGUACUGUUUGUAAUACAUACAAUGAGAGUUAAAAAAUGAUGUUCUAUGUCAAUUGGAUUAUUAUGACCACAACAUUUUUUUCUUGGUUGUUCUGUUUAAAUACUCCUUGCCUAUAGGUAAAGUUCAGUUUUAUUUUGACUAUUAAUUCAUGGUUCUUACAGGGAAGGACUUCACAUAUUUUCAUGUGUAUCUCUUUAGCCGAUAUUUCUUAUAUAUUAUUACAAUUCAAUAUAAAAUUCCAUCCGCAUGUUAGUUCUGGAAGCUACAAUAUCUUCAGAAGAAUGUAUGGAAGGGCUUUUACUUUUAAUUGCAGGUUUAUAAGAUAUAAAAGUUCGCCGCAGAAAGCAUGCUGGAUUCUAACUGUUUAGUUUGUAUGGGCUGCUGGGGAGCUGGCAGGAAAGGUGCCCUUGUCAAAAGCUCUGGCUGUUGUCUCAAGCAUUUAUUUUUGGUUGUUGUCUACCAGGAUGUUACCUUACUUCAUUCUUGGUCAUAUAGAACUGUGAACCUAACAAUGUGCAAAAUAUUAUGUGAUAAACUUACAGUUGUGUUGUCUCACAAUUGUAGAAGUUAUCCAGGAUGAGAGUUUCCUAUGCGGUGGCCAUGGUCGCGGAGUUUGAUGAAUACACCAGUGAUCGGCUUUACCUCCAUGAAGGUCGAAGGGCAGUUGUUCAAAAUAUUGUGUUUCCCUUCACUGUUUGAUCUCAACAUACUGAUAUACUUCAUUUGCUGCUUUGUUACUCUCCAGUUGUUUCGAUUUUUUUGGUUAACAUGUAGUCCUUCCUACUCUGCAGAAAGUUAUCCUACCGAAGAGAAAGUGGAGCCAACUGCCUGAUCCGGAGCUUCUUGCGAAGAACUGCAAUCUAGCGAUGGCUAAACAUGAUGAUUCUCUCUCCUCAAUUGUUGUUGCAAAGAAUUGGAGCAGGAACAAGUGAGAAACAUGCUUCUUUUUUAAUGUAUGGACAACAUGAUUCUGAUGCCCCAAGGCGGAUGCCAACAUACCCUUGUUCAACAAUAGUGAAGAUGUAAAGAAGAAACUCUUGAUCAUUUGUAAACGUGUUUGUUUAUCUCCAGGGAUGGUGCUGAUGUUCUGAAACCACUUCAAAUCUCGAGGAAGUCACCACAAACUGCUGGCAAGUCAAAUGUGGUUGGACGGUGCUCAAAAUCGAACAUGACAGUGCUCUGUCUCACUUCACCUCUGCUGAUCCUGAAGCAAAUAAUAAGUUCACUAAGAGUUCUUACAGAUGGUAUUCCCUGUGCAAGUGGCAGUCAUUCAGGUGAUGAUGUAUGAGAAGGUCAUUCAGGUGAUGAUGUGUGAGAAGGCAUUUGCAAUACCGUUGUAUGGUAUUUAUUUCCAUCAAGUUGGGAUGGGUGGACGGCGCGCGAGGGAGCGGACGUGGGACAUUGGUUCGAUUAGAUCGGUCUGUUGGGAUAUCACCUUGUGUAGAACAAGGACGAUUUAAUGGGCUAGGCCAGAUGGCAUGAACCGCCAAUUUUGAACAGGCCUGACUAAGGU